This is a long non-coding RNA of Zingiber officinale, 243 nucleotides long. RefSeq lists it as uncharacterized. NCBI's taxonomy places the organism in Eukaryota, Viridiplantae, Streptophyta, Magnoliopsida, Zingiberales, Zingiberaceae. The record is from RefSeq and is a predicted model, not a curated record. The transcript has 3 exons.
GUGAGAUGUUGGUGUUCAAGCUUAGUAGAGUUUUGAAUCUACUCAUCCCUUUUUCAAUGAUUUCCAGCAUCAAUUUGGAUUUUUCUGCAUCAUUCUAUCAGAAGACUGAAGCAAGGCAAUCUCACUCUCCUUCUGCCAUUGUCAUUGGUGGUGGAUUUGCAGGGAUUGCAGCUGCUCAUGCAUUGAAAAAUGCAACUUUUCAGGUUGUGCUUUUAGAAUCUCGGGAUAGAAUUGGUGGCCGAG